AACGAACGCUGGCAGCGUGGAUUAGGCAUGCAAGUCGAACGGGAUCCGGAAGGUAGCAAUACCGGCCGGUGAGAGUGGCGGAAGGGCGAGGAGCACGUGGACAACCUGUCCCGUGGGUGGGGAUACCGUCCCGAAAGGGGCGUUAAUACCGAAUGGGGCCCCGGACCGCAUGGUCCGGCGGCCAAAGGCGGGGACCGCAAGGCCCGCCCCCCCGGGAGGGGUCCGCGCACCAUCAGCUAGACGGCGGGGUAACGGCCCACCGUGGCUUACGGUUAGCUGGUCUGAGAGGAGGACAGGCCGCACUGGGGCUGAGACACCGCCCAGACUCCUACGGGAGGCUGCAGUCGAGGAUCAUUCGCAAUGGGCGAGAGCCUGACGAUGUGACGCUGCGUGGAGGAUGAAGGCGCUCGGGUCGUAAACUCCUGUCAUGGGGGGCGAGGCGGAGGCGGUUAACGGGCGCCCGAGUUGACGGUACCCCAAGAGGAAGCCACGGCUAACUCGGUG
Molecule: ribosomal RNA, 504 nt
Filed under: uncultured bacterium
Lineage: Bacteria
Description: partial 16S ribosomal RNA
Rfam family: Bacterial small subunit ribosomal RNA
Source: RNAcentral